CGGAACGGUUUUCGCAUCAAUUUCAUGGGAAAUCAAUCCUCUUCGGGAUCCAAAAAUCUCGACAGCGCAUUGCGCAACCCUCAGGCCGUAGCAGAAAAGAUGGCUCAAGAAAUAGCAGCAGGGCGAAUCCUAGGACCCUUUGACGCUCCUCCUUUUAAAAACUUUCGGGUUUCUCCUCUAGGCGUAGUUCCGAAAAAGUCCCCUGGAGAAUUUCGGCUUAUACAUAAUUUAUCCUUCCCCGCUGGACUAUCAUGAAGGCUUUGUUCCCCAAGAACUGAAGGAGUCGAUUGUCCAUCCAGUGCCAAAGUGCUCCCCUCCAAAGACUCUGAGUGAGGACCUUAGACCCAUUACCCUGACCUCUCAGUUAGCUAAAGUUAGGGAGGGAUUUGCACUUAAUUCGCUCUUCGCAUGCGUUAAGGAUAAGCUUGACCCUAAACAGUUCUCUGUAACAGGGAAGUCUACUGUGCAGGCCCUGGUAUAUUUUAUCCAUUGCAUCCUUGAACCCUGAAUCGCUUGAAAGAGGCGAAAGUUAUGUGCGCAUAUUUUUUGCCGACUUUUCAAAGGGCUUUGACCAUAACGUCUUAAUGUCUGAGCUCGACCUCCUGGGAGUCAACGAGUAUCUCCAAAAUUGGAUUGCUGCCUUUCUAACAGCCCGACCACAGCGCGUCAAAAUCAGUGGCCACACCUCGUCGCCUGUGUUCCCUAAUGGGGGCAUACCACAAGGCACUAAGCUUGCUCCACUAUUGUUUGCUAUACUUGUAAAACAGGCUGGCGAGCACUUUGCCAUAUCGCAUUAAGUAUGUUGAUGACACCACCAUCUUUGAAGUGAUUCCCAUGUGCUCGCCAAGUUAUCUGCCAUUUAUUGCUAAUGAUAUUUGCAAUUUUGCUACGGAGCGUGGGAUGAGGCUCAACCCCAAAAAGUGUCGGGAAUUAGUCAUUAAUUCCCUGCAGUACCAGCCCUCGCCAGUUAAUGCCCUGCAACUCAUGGGCUCCGUGAUUAGAAGGGUUGGGAGCUACAAAAUCCUCGGCGUCCACAUUAGCUCAGAUCUAUCGUGGAAUAAGCACGUAGACUAUGUAGUUAAGAAGGCAAACAAAAGGCUCUACGCUCUCCGGCUCCUUAAGAAAUCUGGAGUACCGGUCCAGGAUCUUGUUGCCAUCUAGUAAGAUCGGUAGUGGAGUACGCAGGUCCAGUAUGGGCUAAUAUACCAGGGUUCCUUGUCGACAUUGUUGAGGGCAUCCAAAAGAGGGCCCUCCGUAUCGUUUUACCCCAUCUACGAUACAAGGAGGCCUUAGACUCCAAAGUCUUGCUGACAGCAGGCGCGAGCUUUGUAUCAGUUUCAUGACCUCCGCUAAGGAGCUAGAACCCCUUCGAUCUGUAAUUACUGGAGGCGUAAUUAAUAACGAGCAUGGUUAUUCACUAAGAUCCGGAAGUAUGAAUACCUACAAACAUAGUUCUGUAACUAAACGCUUUUGUGACUUUGUAACUUAUCGAUUUCUGUAAUAUUUUAACGCUAUAUGUGCUGGCCCUUUGCCGUAAUUCAGUCUGUAAUACUGCCAUGGCAAUUCAAUAAAACCCUACCUACCUACCCACCCACCCACCCACCUACCUAUCUACCUACCUACCUACCUACCUACCUACCUACCUAUCCAGUAAUAUAUCCUAAGAAUGUUAUCGCCCUUCUUUUCUGAGGCUGUUUAGCAGGAGUUAUCACAGUUGCUUCUACUGAAUGAAAGUUAGAGUCAGUGAUAUGCAUAACACAGUUAAAAACAUUAGCUACUGCCUGAAUAAUUUUGUUGUCAGCCCAUGUCCCUUGUUUAGACAUUUCCUCAAUAUGUUUUGCCAUGAAUUGUUUGAAAUGCUUUCAAUGAAAAGGUCUGGGUUUUCAGCCAGGUAUGCAAUACCUGCACUUCUUAUUUGGUAAUGCAAAUCAGGUUUCCCAUAAAGUUGAUGUGAAACUGCUGUAAAAAAGCAAUCACCACAGCCUCCGACAUCAAGCGGCUCUAAGCCUAUCAAACCUUAUUUGCUGGCUAAACAAUGAUAAGGUGUAACAUUUGCAUCACUGGGAAACAUGCCACCCGUUAAAUUGGUUGCAUUUUUGUUUGUGACAGUGUCUGGCAUUUACAAACUUAAUGUUGACCAUUUUGGAAGUCAAAAAGAAGCUACUGUAAAAACUGUCUUGCCUCCGUACAAAAUCGACAUAGCAAUACUUGUAAUUAGCAAUUGCAUGGAAAAUAACAGAUGACAUCGGUACCAUCUUUUUCAACGCAUUCUUCGCUGAGUUUCUCGUUUUCCUCUUAUGGAAAUUGUUUAGAAACUUUCGCUUAGCAAACCUGAAGGGUUCACGAUCUCUGCGGAAUUUAAUAUUCGAUUGUUUGGAAUGUUUUCUAACUGAGUUUCAGAUUUCAUUGGUGUCAUACGAGAGUACCACAGCAUUCAAAGAUUUGUGAUCACUAGGAGCUUUGCAGCUACUAAGGUUGCAAGUCAAGUCAAGAGAAUCAUAAAUAGAUUUUGUUUUAACAGUGUUUCCAAAAGCCAUAGACUCCGUAGGCGUUUGGGCUAGAAUAUCCCGCCCUAAUAAGCACUGGGUUAAUUCUGGCUGUGUGGAUUCCCAAAGCCAUACAGCCAUUAGGCAUUGGGUUAUUGUUAUGGACUGGUAAGUUUUUCCAAACGCCGUACAGUUCAUAGGCAAGUGGGCUAGGGUAUUUAGGCAUUGAGUUGGGGUGCCAGUUGUUCGUUUUGCUCGUUUUAUGCUCAAUUUUGUCGAUAUCUCCAUCGACUGCGGGAGACGCGACCAUGGCACGUGUGCUAGUACGAAUGUUACGCUUCCGACCCGACUCAUAAGUCGGCAAAAUCGGUCUGAUGCUGUUAUUAAAUUCUCCUUCAACACUCUUUGAAUGCUGAUGAGUAAUUAUUCGGAGUUUUCAGGAGGACUUGGAGAGACAUCAGACUUUUUACCGUGGAUCACACACAACGAAUAAAAACGAAUCAAACUCUGGUAGUGUGUAUCACUGGUUAAUACUGGCGGACUAGAGGAACGCGACAUUAAAAGUCUGAUCGAUUAAAAGAGAAGUUUUAAAGUGGAGACGAAUUGGGCCAACGUCCAUGAGGUAAGACCGUUUUCGAUUCUUUAAAACUGGACCCGUCCGAAGACAACACGGCACACCAUGCGGGAGGAGCCGAGCGGGGAGCAGGGAGAGCUCGGCAAAUUUUCAGAAAGGCUCUGGAAACCGCUUAUACGGACAAGCGAACCGAGCUCGCUUGCUUACACAAGAAGCUAACCGUAAUUCAAUUUCUCGCGAGCCGGGAGCCUGACACGGUCUCCGAUGAAGCCUUAAACGAGUUGAGAACCGUGACAGAGCAGUUUAGAAUUACCAUGAGAGAUAUAUAUGAUUUGUACGAGCAGGACAAGUUUAGAGCAAUAAAUAAAAAUGAGCUAGAACUAGCAAAUAAAAAACAAACAUUGAACACUGCUUUACAUUUUCUUAUAAAGAAUAAACAAUCCGACAAACCGUCGGAUAUAAGUCGCUCGCGCCGCAGCAAGGGCUCUGAUAGUUCUGCGAUCAGCUCUACACGAAUCAAAGCAAUAGCAGAAGCUGCGGCGGCGAGAUAAAGCGCCAAUUUUUAACCUUUUAAUCGCACAAAGUGAGGAGGAAGAGGAAACCAGGAUAAGGAACGAUAUCCCCGGGGUUCCUAUCCUGCUUAAUGGAAAUAAAACGUCUGCCAAUCCACAAAAGACCAAUCCACAAAAGUAUUGCCUUUUCCUGCUAGCCAGUCAAUCGAUGGUGGAACCGUAUCUCCCACCAUCGGAUACAAGACUCAGCCUAGCGGUGAAGAAAAUCAAAUAAUAGCAGAUACCCCUUAAGCGCGCUUCCAGCAAAAUCCUCUUGUUUCUUCCACCCCAUGUCGCGAUCUAACCAGAGAACGCUUCCUAGAAUCACUUACAAUUUUAAAUCGGGAAAAAGUAGCGAGUCUGGCGCGACAAAACUUGCCAAAAUGCCAUCCAGACGUAUUGUCAGGUGAUCCCGUAUUGUUUCACCCUUGGAAAAGGGCAUUCAUAGCUAUGGUCAGAGAUGCGCGCGCAACGCCAGAUCUAGAAAUAAAUUACCUGGUUGGCUUCACCGAAGGAGAAGUGCGCAAAGUAGUUGAUAAUUAUAGGAAGCGCAUUCAAAACAAUCCACGCACGCUACUACAUAAUUUAUGGUCGGAGCCGGAGAGGCGUUUUGGUAGCACAGCAGUGAUCACGAACACUCUCCUAGAACGCUUGCGCUAUUCAGCAGCUUUCGGAGACCACGAUAAUCUUAAGCUUCAGGAAUUCUCAGAUAUCUGCGCAGAUGUUCUUAGUCAGAUAGAACACUUACCGGGUCUAGCCUGCCUUAAUUUCGCGAACGCAAUCAAUCCUAUUGUAGAGAAGCUGCGCGCAAAAAGGGAGAAGACCGUUGUUAAGUUCGCGGAAAAACAGUUCGCACGCAUAGUUGAAGAACGCGCUAAAACAAAAAAAAUCAUCCUAACAUCCUCACCGCUGGCACCCCCACGGUAGCGUCUACGACCCCUAGGAGAGAGAGGCCUGUGAGUCGACGAGCACUUACUUACAAACUCUCGCAAGGACGCACAACCCACAGAUCCGCAAGCAGACACAGUUAAGCCGCCCGACAAGUCCCCACCAAAGAACACACCAAAGUUUUGUCCGUUCCACGAGCGUGACAGCCACGGAAUUUAUUGCCUUCGGAUAAGAAAACGGAGUGUGUUUCAGAUGCUUUGCGCCACGUGACGAUGCUUCAUAAAAAGAACGCUCAGAGAGAAGUAAAACCGAAAUGCACCGCUAUUUGCAACCAAGAGGAGGGCGGUCUUUCAUGCGCCAAAAUCGUUCUAGUCGACGUUUUCGACGGGAAGAAUCCGGAGAAACUGUUUCGCGUGUACGCGAUAGUUGACGAUAAGAGCAAUUCGUUCAUGAUCAGUUCCGAGUUGGCUGACGAGAUUGGUGCCGAUGGCCCCCCGGAGAAGUACUUGUUAUCGACUUGCACAUCGAGUAAAGAGGUCAGUUACGGCCGAAGAGUCGACAACCUGCAAGUUAGAUCUAUGAACGAUACUGUUAUGAGGCUACCGACCCUUAAAUGCGGUCAACUACCCAGCGA
Molecule: long non-coding RNA, 5133 nt
Organism: Nematostella vectensis (starlet sea anemone)
Lineage: Eukaryota; Metazoa; Cnidaria; Anthozoa; Actiniaria; Edwardsiidae
Exons: 2
Source: RefSeq, a predicted model, not a curated record